Ictalurus punctatus (channel catfish) is the source of this 302-nucleotide long non-coding RNA. The record is from Ensembl. NCBI's taxonomy places the organism in Eukaryota, Metazoa, Chordata, Actinopteri, Siluriformes, Ictaluridae.
CACACACACACACACACACACACACACACACACACACACACAUAUAUUCCUGAAAUGAACAGAACGAAUUUCAACAGUUUAUUUCCUGCCUCGAAACAAACAUCCGCUCACUUCUCCUUUCAUGAUCCAGAAACAGAAGAUGAAGACUCGAGUUGAAAUUCAGUCUGUGGAUCACCACGUAACAGUGAUGGAGAAUUUACCCAUAGAUUUCAGAAACAGCGGUCAGAUUGUUGAUCGUUGUGAGGUUCCUCCCUUGGUGUCGUUGCUCAUCAGCAGGUUUGUGAUGCCAUCUAAAAUAAAUG